Molecule: long non-coding RNA, 698 nt
Organism: Salvia splendens (bonfire salvia)
Lineage: Eukaryota; Viridiplantae; Streptophyta; Magnoliopsida; Lamiales; Lamiaceae
Exons: 2
Source: RefSeq, a predicted model, not a curated record
UCCAAAUUACGCUCAGAUUUGCUUUCCUAAAUUCUCUCUUCUCCUCUUUUCUUCGUAUCAAAUUCAAUCUUCGAAGAUGUUUCUUUCCGAAUCACGCGGUUAUAAUUGAUGAACAGAUUCGUGCAGUUCAAUUUCCUCCGAUCUCAUCAGCCUAUCGCAAUUUUCUUUUUGAAGCUAUUUUGCUUGUCGAUUUAUGCCGAUCCCAUCAGCCUAUCGCGAUUGUCUUCUUUACGAAGCUAUUUUGCUUGUCUUUGUUCAAUAAUGGCAGUAGCUGCAAUUGAGGAUGUUGGAAAUCAGCUUUUUGGUGAUGGUUCUACUGUGUUGUCAGUGUUGGAGAAAAGAAGAGGUUUGAGGAAUUGUAUGGUGUUGUGAGGCCUGAUGUUAUACAUGCUCAUCCACCAAAUGUGGUGAAGUGUAAAGGAUCUGGAUCCAGGUUGCCUUCUAAGAUAGAGGCGGCGAAGAAGGCGGCGUCUAAACCUCCUAGACAAUGUGGAAAAUGCCAUAAAAUGGUUAAUCAUGAUUCAAAGAGAAGAGUAAAAUACAUAAAUAAAUUAGUUGUUCCUAUCACUAUUGUUUCUGUUUAUUGGCAUACAUAAUUCCUUGUUUUGGAUAUUCCAUAGCAUUCUUGUUUCCAUGUUGUAUGGAAGAAUAAUAAUCUCCACUUAUGUUCUGAAUGUUAUCUCAUUUUAUUUUUCAUA